This 429-nucleotide ribosomal RNA is filed under the name Actinomycetes bacterium. RNAcentral describes it as "Actinobacteria bacterium partial 16S ribosomal RNA". It matches the Rfam family "Bacterial small subunit ribosomal RNA", at positions 355 to 776 of the family's 1533-position model. The record is from RNAcentral. Lineage: Bacteria; Bacillati; Actinomycetota; Actinomycetes.
UAGGGAAUCUUCCGCAAUGGGCGAAAGCCUGACGGAGCAACGCCGCGUGAGUGAUGAAGGUCUUCGGAUCGUAAAACUCUGUUAUUAGGGAAGAACAAAUGUGUAAGUAACUAUGCACGUCUUGACGGUACCUAAUCAGAAAGCCACGGCUAACUACGUGCCAGCAGCCGCGGUAAUACGUAGGUGGCAAGCGUUAUCCGGAAUUAUUGGGCGUAAAGCGCGCGUAGGCGGUUUUUUAAGUCUGAUGUGAAAGCCCACGGCUCAACCGUGGAGGGUCAUUGGAAACUGGAAAACUUGAGUGCAGAAGAGGAAAGUGGAAUUCCAUGUGUAGCGGUGAAAUGCGCAGAGAUAUGGAGGAACACCAGUGGCGAAGGAGACUUUCUGGUCUGUAACUGACGCUGAUGUGCGAAAGCGGGGGGAUCAAACAGG